RNAcentral lists this ribosomal RNA (236 nucleotides) under Providencia rettgeri. Its description in RNAcentral is "partial 23S ribosomal RNA". It matches the Rfam family "Bacterial large subunit ribosomal RNA", at positions 587 to 824 of the family's 2925-position model. The record is from RNAcentral. Lineage: Bacteria; Pseudomonadati; Pseudomonadota; Gammaproteobacteria; Enterobacterales; Morganellaceae.
GAUGGGGUGACUGCGUACCUUUUGUAUAAUGGGUCAGCGACUUAUAUUCUGUAGCAAGGUUAACCGAAUAGGGGAGCCGUAGGGAAACCGAGUCUUAACUGGGCGAAUGAGUUGCAGGGUAUAGACCCGAAACCCGGUGAUCUAGCCAUGGGCAGGUUGAAGGUUGGGUAACACUAACUGGAGGACCGAACCGACUAAUGUUGAAAAAUUAGCGGAUGACUUGUGGCUGGGGGUGA